Non-coding RNA from Lasiosphaeria hispida, 83 nucleotides. NCBI's taxonomy places the organism in Eukaryota, Fungi, Ascomycota, Sordariomycetes, Sordariales, Lasiosphaeriaceae. The record is from the annotation of a GenBank genome assembly.
UCUUCCGUAGUAUAGUGGUCAGUAUAUGAGCUUGUCAUCUUUGGAUUCCGCUCGGGACCCGGGUUCAAUUCCCGGCGGGAGAG